Non-coding RNA from Podarcis lilfordi (Lilford's wall lizard), 87 nucleotides. Lineage: Eukaryota; Metazoa; Chordata; Lepidosauria; Squamata; Lacertidae. The record is from the annotation of a GenBank genome assembly.
GCUAUCCCUGGCUUUUGCGGGAGGUGGGAGAAGGGACAGAGUGCGGCUCUGUCCCUUCCCCCACCUCCCGCAAAAGCCAGGGAUAGC